This 29-nucleotide small RNA is filed under the name Bombyx mori (domestic silkworm). Its description in RNAcentral is "ovarian small RNA-14153". Lineage: Eukaryota; Metazoa; Arthropoda; Insecta; Lepidoptera; Bombycidae. The record is from RNAcentral.
CGAAUUUCCGUAUAUGACGUUCGGGCUGC